CAGUCGUACCGACGAGAAAUCAGCCUUUCGAAUGUGCAUUUGUGGGCGUAUGAGAUCUUCAUUGUUUGCAAUAUGUAUGUUUCUUUGGUGUACUUUUUCGUAUGGUAGGUCAACGUCGGUUUUGAUCGCCAUAAAAUGAUCGGAGGAAUGUAGCUUCGACCUCGGUUGAAGUGUUAUAGCCUUUGGUAAAUGUGGUGAUUAGGACCGAGGAUUGCAACGAAUACCUUUUAGGCUAUCCGUCUGACCUCUGAAAGUUAAUUAGGUGCCGAAAGCUUGCUUACGGUCAUUUAAGUUGACGGUCAAAAGGUUAGAACGUGAUUACA
Molecule: ribosomal RNA, 323 nt
Filed under: uncultured Glomeromycotina
Lineage: Eukaryota; Fungi; Glomeromycota
Description: LSU rRNA
Source: RNAcentral